Bombyx mori (domestic silkworm) is the source of this 1270-nucleotide long non-coding RNA. RefSeq lists it as uncharacterized. NCBI's taxonomy places the organism in Eukaryota, Metazoa, Arthropoda, Insecta, Lepidoptera, Bombycidae. The record is from RefSeq and is a predicted model, not a curated record. The transcript has 2 exons.
CACCACAACGCCAUCUAAAAAGAUUGAUACACAGAUCGGCCUUUGAAGAUACAAAAAUUAAUAGCUAUGCAUAAUUGCAUCGCUCAGUAUUGCGUUGCGGAAAAAGCGGUUUUUAAAGAAAACUUUGCAUCAACUUGAUUCAAAUAUCCUACGGAAAACAGAAGACAAUAGAAACAAUUUGCGUUUCGCCAUCGGAAAUUAUAAACCUGACGCAAAUAUAAGGGUUAAUGUGUCAUCAUCAUCAUCAUCAGCCUGCAUCUCUCCACUGCUGGAUGUAGGCCUCUCCCAUAGUCCGCCACAAUGAACGAUCCUCCGCCUUCCGCAUCCAAUCUCUCCCAGCAUAUCACCGCAAGUCAUCGGUCCAACGGGCAGGGGGACGCCCAACGCUGCGCUUACCGGUACGCGGUCUCCAGUCCAGAACACGUCUGCUCCAUCGGCCAUCGGUUCUGCGACACGUAUGUCCGGCCCAUUGCCACUUCAGCUUGCUAAUCUUUAGGGCUAUGUCGGUUACUUUGGUUCUUUGACGGAUUUCAUCAUUUCUGACUCGAUCCAUCAAAAAAACUCCGAGCAUACCUCUUUCCAUAGCACGCUGAGCGACUUUGAACUUACGGCCCAGACCUACGGUCAAUGUCCACGUUUCAGCGCCAUAUGUCAUGACCGGCAGUACGCAAGCGUUGAAAACUUUUGUCUUUAGGGUUAAUGUGUGUGUGUGUAUUAUAUUUUUUUAUUUUGAAAAUUUUGCUAAAUAUCCGAGCGAAGCCGGAGCGGGCCGCUAUAACAAAAUUAAAUAUUUUUAGAUUUAUUUCCGUUCUAAAGAUGAAACACCACGACGAGACUCCUACAGUCCAACUUGGAACAUGAAAUUUCAAUCCCAAUUCCUUUGGUAUAUCAACUAUCCCAUAAACCGAAACACAUCUUUGGCAUACAGUAAAAAGUAGUCAAUACAAAAUAGUCAAUACAAUGGUACUAAUCAGUCUGGGCCCACCAUACUUCCUACCCAUAAAUUAAAGUCCUUAAUUUCAUUCACACCUCGAAGUUAAUAAUCUUUCGAAACAUACAGAACCAUGCGUCGACAUUAAUCAAAUUAAGAUUCACGAGAAUGAAUAUUGUAACAUAGAUUUAUCGUGAUUCAGAAAGCGAACCAUAUUGAAUAUUCAAAAGGAAACACUAAUUCAAUUUCCCGGUCCACUCGCAGUCGCUAAUGCACAAAGUCUUCCUUUCGAAUGCAAUCUAGAAUCGAAAUGACGUUAAUAAAACGAAAAUAAAUCAA